Molecule: ribosomal RNA, 399 nt
Filed under: 2,4-D-degrading bacterium 712
Lineage: Bacteria; Pseudomonadati; Pseudomonadota; Betaproteobacteria; Burkholderiales
Description: bacterial SSU rRNA
Rfam family: Bacterial small subunit ribosomal RNA
Source: RNAcentral
UAUACAUGCAAGUCGAACGGCAGCNCGGGANCAAUCCUGGUGGCGAGUGGCGAACGGGUGAGUAAUACAUCGGAACGUGCCCUGUUGUGGGGGAUAACUAGUCGAAAGAUUAGCUAAUACCGCAUACGACCUGAGGGUGAAAGCGGGGGACCGNAAGGCCUCGCGCAAUAGGAGCGGCCGAUGUCUGAUUAGCUAGUUGGUGGGGUAAAAGCUCACCAAGGCGACGAUCAGUAGCUGGUCUGAGAGGACGAUCAGCCACACUGGGACUGAGACACGGCCCAGACUCCUACGGGAGGCAGCAGUGGGGAAUUUUGGCCAAUGGGGGCAACCCUGAUCCAGCAAUGCCGCGUGUGUGAAGAAGGCUUCGGGUUGUAAAGCACUUUUGUCCGGAAAGAAAUG